ACUCAAAGGAAUAGACGGGGGCCCGCACAAGCAGUGGAGUAUGUGGUUUAAUUCGAAGCAACGCGAAGAACCUUACCAGGGCUUGACAUCCCCUGACGUUACUGGAAACAGUAAUUUCCUACGGGACAGGGAGACAGGUGGUGCAUGGUUGUCGUCAGCUCGUGUCGUGAGAUGUUGGGUUAAGUCCCGCAACGAGCGCAACCCUUGUCGCUAGUUGCCAGCGAGUAAAGUUGGGCACUCUAGCGAGACUGCCGGUGACAAAUCGGAGGAAGGUGGGGAUGAUGUCAAAUCAUCAUGCCCCUUAUGUCCUGGGCUACACACGUACUACAAUGGCCGGAACAGCGGGGUGCGAAGCCGCGAGGCGGAGCGAAUCCCAAAAAACCGGUCCCAGUUCGGAUUGCAGGCUGCAACUCGCCUGCAUGAAGUUGGAAUUGCUAGUAAUGGCAGGUCAGCAUACUGCCGUGAAUACGUUCCCGGGCCUUGCACACACCGCCCGU
This 497-nucleotide ribosomal RNA is filed under the name uncultured bacterium. RNAcentral describes it as "bacterial SSU rRNA". It matches the Rfam family "Bacterial small subunit ribosomal RNA", at positions 899 to 1397 of the family's 1533-position model. The record is from RNAcentral.